RNAcentral lists this ribosomal RNA (922 nucleotides) under Staphylococcus sp. Its description in RNAcentral is "bacterial SSU rRNA". It matches the Rfam family "Bacterial small subunit ribosomal RNA", at positions 56 to 958 of the family's 1533-position model. Lineage: Bacteria; Bacillati; Bacillota; Bacilli; Caryophanales; Staphylococcaceae. The record is from RNAcentral.
UGCAAGUCGAGCGAACGGACGAGAAGCUUGCUUCUCUGAUGUUAGCGGCGGACGGGUGAGUAACACGUGGAUAACCUACCUAUAAGACUGGGAUAACUUCGGGAAACCGGAGCUAAUACCGGAUAAUAUUUUGAACCGCAUGGUUCAAAAGUGAAAGACGGUCUUGCUGUCACUUAUAGAUGGAUCCGCGCUGCAUUAGCUAGUUGGUAAGGUAACGGCUUACCAAGGCAACGAUGCAUAGCCGACCUGAGAGGGUGAUCGGCCACACUGGAACUGAGACACGGUCCAGACUCCUACGGGAGGCAGCAGUAGGGAAUCUUCCGCAAUGGGCGAAAGCCUGACGGAGCAACGCCGCGUGAGUGAUGAAGGUCUUCGGAUCGUAAAACUCUGUUAUUAGGGAAGAACAUAUGUGUAAGUAACUGUGCACAUCUUGACGGUACCUAAUCAGAAAGCCACGGCUAACUACGUGCCAGCAGCCGCGGUAAUACGUAGGUGGCAAGCGUUAUCCGGAAUUAUUGGGCGUAAAGCGCGCGUAGGCGGUUUUUUAAGUCUGAUGUGAAAGCCCACGGCUCAACCGUGGAGGGUCAUUGGAAACUGGAAAACUUGAGUGCAGAAGAGGAAAGUGGAAUUCCAUGUGUAGCGGUGAAAUGCGCAGAGAUAUGGAGGAACACCAGUGGCGAAGGCGACUUUCUGGUCUGUAACUGACGCUGAUGUGCGAAAGCGUGGGGAUCAAACAGGAUUAGAUACCCUGGUAGUCCACGCCGUAAACGAUGAGUGCUAAGUGUUAGGGGGUUUCCGCCCCUUAGUGCUGCAGCUAACGCAUUAAGCACUCCGCCUGGGGAGUACGACCGCAGGGUUGAAACUCAAAGGAAUUGACGGGGGACCCGCACAAGCGGUGGAGCAUGUGGUUUAAUUCGAAGCA